UUUCCGUAGGUGAACCUGCGGAAGGAUCAUUAUCGUAAAACCGAGGUGCGAGGGCUGUCGCUGACCUUUUCGGUCGUGCACGCCCGAGCGCUCUCACACAAUCCAUCUCACCCCUUGCGCACCACCGCGUGGGUCCCUUUCUGGCUCGUCCGGAGGGGGGCUCGCGUUUUCACACAAACUUGAAGUAGUGUAGAAUGUCCUUUUUUUGCGAUAACACGCAAUCAAUACAACUUUCAACAACGGAUCUCUUGGCUCUC
This 257-nucleotide unclassified non-coding RNA is filed under the name plant metagenome. Its description in RNAcentral is "partial contains small subunit ribosomal RNA, internal transcribed spacer 1, and 5.8S ribosomal RNA". The record is from RNAcentral.